UAGGGAAUCUUCGGCAAUGGGGGCAACCCUGACCGAGCAACGCCGCGUGAGUGAAGAAGGUUUUCGGAUCGUAAAGCUCUGUUGUAAGUCAAGAACGGGUGUGAGAGUGGAAAGUUCACACUGUGACGGUAGCUUACCAGAAAGGGACGGCUAACUACGUGCCAGCAGCCGCGGUAAUACGUAGGUCCCGAGCGUUGUCCGGAUUUAUUGGGCGUAAAGCGAGCGCAGGCGGUUUGAUAAGUCUGAAGUUAAAGGCUGUGGCUCAACCAUAGUUCGCUUUGGAAACUGUCAAACUUGAGUGCAGAAGGGGAGAGUGGAAUUCCAUGUGUAGCGGUGAAAUGCGUAGAUAUAUGGAGGAACACCGGUGGCGAAAGCGGCUCUCUGGUCUGUAACUGACGCUGAGGCUCGAAAGCGUGGGGAGCGAACAGGAUUAGAUACCCUGGUAGUCCACGCCGUAAACGAUGAGUGCUAGGUGUUGGAUCCUUUCCGGGAUUCAGUGCCGAAGCUAACGCAUUAAGCACUCCGCCUGGGGAGUACGACCGCAAGGUUGAAAC
RNAcentral lists this ribosomal RNA (554 nucleotides) under uncultured bacterium. RNAcentral's name for it is "partial 16S ribosomal RNA". It matches the Rfam family "Bacterial small subunit ribosomal RNA", at positions 355 to 900 of the family's 1533-position model. The record is from RNAcentral.